AUCGAUUUCGAUCAGCAGAUUGCCAGCGAAGAACGCCGUAUUGAUUUCGCGGACGUUUCCCCGCCAGAUAUCGCGUUGAACCUUGCCGUCAGCGCUCGAGAAGAGCACGCGGUGAAGGCAGCCAGCAGGCGCGCAAAGCUUGCCAUUGUCGCAUUCGACAUGUUCAAAAUGAAUCGUUAUCAGCUGUUGCCCAUCAGGGAUCGGCAAGUAUGUUACAAAGCCGUUCCUGACCCUGAUCGCUUCCGCGCCGCACCCCGCUUGUGCUUGAUGAAGCGCCAGACGAACAGCUUGCGGAAGACGAUGCAUUUGGGCAGCGGAAAGUUUCGACCAGCCGUCUUGAGCGAUGCCGGAGGCUCUGGCUUGUGCGUCCGCAGCGGCAAGACAAAACGC
Molecule: unclassified non-coding RNA, 390 nt
Filed under: Hevea brasiliensis (rubber tree)
Lineage: Eukaryota; Viridiplantae; Streptophyta; Magnoliopsida; Malpighiales; Euphorbiaceae
Source: RNAcentral